GGAGGAGGAGGAGGAGGAGGAGACGUGGCAUGGCUGGGAGUCAAGGUCCCCGACUUGUUGUCACGGAUCUUCUGCAGUACAUCCACAGUGCCAAGCUCAGCUGCACCUGGGCUGGACCCAGAUUUGGAUCAGAGAGUCAUGGGCAGGUCUUACGCCUCCCAUGAGACAACUGGAAACAUCUGAAAAGCUACCCAGGCCCCAAGUUUCCAAGAAGCCCCAUCCAGGCCUCUUCUCCCUCCGUCGUGACAUCGCCAUCCCACAGAUGCAUGGUGCUGGCUCCCAGAGGCUGCUUUGCUUAAGCCCUCAAUGUUCAGUAGCUUAAAGCAACAGAAUGUACAGUUGGGAUGCCCAAAGCUGGAAAGCAUCUUAUCUACUAAGCAUUCUCCCUUGCAUCAGCUCCUGGAGGUUCCUUCUGCCUCCUCAGCUCCCUAUGGCUCCAGAGUUCUUGGCUUGUGGCCCCAUAAUUCAAGUCUCAGACUUUGCCAUA
This is a long non-coding RNA of Mus musculus (house mouse), 487 nucleotides long. RefSeq annotates it as predicted gene, 33966. NCBI's taxonomy places the organism in Eukaryota, Metazoa, Chordata, Mammalia, Rodentia, Muridae. The transcript is spliced from 2 exons. The record is from RefSeq and is a predicted model, not a curated record.